UCCGGUGGUCAUAGCUUGAAGGUAACACCCGUUCCCAUUCCGAACACGCAGGUUAAGCUUCAAAGCGCCGAUGGUACUGCAUUGGAAACGAUGUGGAAGAGUAGGUCGUUGCCGGGU
This 117-nucleotide ribosomal RNA is filed under the name Clostridium aestuarii. The record is from RNAcentral. Lineage: Bacteria; Bacillati; Bacillota; Clostridia; Eubacteriales; Clostridiaceae.